Molecule: ribosomal RNA, 619 nt
Filed under: Colletogloeum sp.
Lineage: Eukaryota; Fungi; Ascomycota; Dothideomycetes; Mycosphaerellales; Mycosphaerellaceae
Description: partial large subunit ribosomal RNA
Rfam family: Eukaryotic large subunit ribosomal RNA
Source: RNAcentral
UCAAUAAGCGGAGGAAAAGAAACCAACAGGGAUUGCCCUAGUAACGGCGAGUGAAGCGGCAACAGCUCAAAUUUGAAAUCUGGCGCAAGCCCGAGUUGUAAUUUGCAGAGGAUGCUUCUGGGCAGCGGCCGUUCUAAGUCUCUUGGAACAGGGCGUCAUAGAGGGUGAGAAUCCCGUAUGUGACCGGCGCGCACCCUCCACGUAGCUCCUUCGACGAGUCGAGUUGUUUGGGAAUGCAGCUCUAAAUGGGAGGUAAAUUCCUUCUAAAGCUAAAUACCGGCCAGAGACCGAUAGCGCACAAGUAGAGUGAUCGAAAGAUGAAAAGCACUUUGGAAAGAGAGUUAAAAAGCACGUGAAAUUGUUGAAAGGGAAGCGCUCGCAACCAGACUCCGCGGCGGUGUUCCGCCGGUCUUCUGACCGGUCCACUCGCCGCCGCGGGGCCAACAUCGUCUGGGGCCGCCGGAUAAGACCGUGGGAAUGUGGCUCCUCGGAGUGUUAUAGCCCGCGGUGAUACGGCGCGCGCCGGGCGAGGUCCGCGCUUCGGCAAGGAUGUUGGCGUAAUGGUUGCCAGCGGCCCGUCUUGAAACACGGACCAAGGAGUCUAACAUCUAUGCGAGUG